GAGUUUUUGAUGUCGCAGAUACUGCAUCAGGAACUGAUUGGAUAAUAAUCAGGCACCAUCAGUUCCUAAUGCAUUGCCUUCAGCAUCUAAACA
This is a microRNA precursor of Merops nubicus (carmine bee-eater), 93 nucleotides long. It matches the Rfam family "mir-217 microRNA precursor family". NCBI's taxonomy places the organism in Eukaryota, Metazoa, Chordata, Aves, Coraciiformes, Meropidae. The record is from Rfam.